GGGAGGAUUACAUGGCAUUAAUAAUCUAGCGCUAGCUGGCUAGCUAAAGAUAAUUAGAAGGUGGCUAACAAGCAAACAAUUUAAAGCUGAAUGAUUUUAAUAUUAACACAAAAUAAGUUCAAUACACCUUAAAUAUUUUACCCUACUAUGAGCUGUUCCUUAAUUUACAUUAGCACUCCUUCAGGAGCAAAAUACAAUUAAACACAUUAACCAAAGCUAGCACUUAGCUAGCAAUUAGCGAUUAGCACUUAGCUAGCGAUUAGCGCACAGCUAGCGAUUAGCGGUUAGCACGUAGACAUGGUAUUAACAUAUGGGCCAGAGCAAGGCACAAUCAAAAUUGCUUUAGGAAUUUUCUAGUUAAACUUAUUAUUAUUCUUCCGUACUCUUUUUCGGCGCGCUUCUUCUCCCGCAGCUUUUGUCGCACAUACACAAAAAAGGUAUCAAAACGUGCGGCUCGGCCGGGAAUCGAGUGCUAUGACUUUUCUAAGAAUUUCGCCAAACGGUUUGCCGAUAAAUCGCCAAAAACCGGUCCAAAAAAUGAAUGGGUGUGUAUUGCGAGAACCUCCAACUGAAAAAAACUGCCAGAGUGCGUGACAUCAUCGCUAGAGUGUGGGGAGAGAGAAAAAUUUGUCGAAAAAUAAAUUUGUAAACUGCUGUCAUGGCCACAAAUUUCACUCUACCGAAAUAAUUUAUAGAUAGAAACGUAGGUAAAUUCGUUGGGGUCGCAGUGAUACCACUGCUGAAGCUGUCAGACAAAUAGUUUUGGCGGGAGACGCACUGAUGCGCCAGCAACUCCCUCUCACGGCCCCAUCUACUCCCAUGUUAAUUUUAGAGGAGGAAUCUUGAAACACGCUCGUUGAACCUCUUCUCUCUCAAUCUCCCCAGGUCACAUUUUUUAACUUUAACCACUGAAACUCGGCAGUGCUAUAGUCAACAAGAUGACGACGCUCACGGUCUUUUCGGUUUUCAUUUCGGUCGUUCCUGGCCAUGCUUUUGAGGGGAUUCAUUUUAAAUGUUUUCUGUCUCUCUGAGGAGUUAGAGACAGAGAGAGCGCGCGCAGCUGCUGUGGGCUCCCCUGAUUGCCAUGACAACCAAAGCCUGUCCACACACACACACACACACACACACACACACACAGCUAGCUACAGAGAAUGACAAGACAUUAAUAAGCUAGCGCUAGCUGGCUAGCUAAAGAUAAUUAGCAGGUGGCUAACAAACAAACAAUUUAAAGCUGAAUGAUUUUAAUAUUAACACAAAAUAAGUUCAAUACACCUUAAAUAUUUUACCCUACUAUGAGCUGUUCCUUAAUUUACAUUAGCACUCCUUCAGGAGCAUAAUACAAUUAAACACAUUAACCAAAGCUAGCACUUAGCUAGCGAUUAGCGCUUAGCUAGCGAUUAGCAUGUAGCUAGCGAUUAGCAUGUAGCUAGCGAUUAGCAGUUAGCUAGCGAUUAGCACUUAGCUAGCGAUUAGCACGUAGCUAGCGAUUAGCGGUUAGCUAGCGAUUAGCACGUAGCUAAGCGCUAGCUUUGGUUUAUGUGUUUAUGUGUGCUAGCUCUAGCUAGCUAGCUAAAGAGAAUGACAUGAUAUUAAUAUGCUAGCGCUAGCUAAGGAGGAUGACAGGUUAUCAAUAUGCUAUAGGGAGGAUUACAUGGCAUUAAUAAUCUAGCGCUAGCUGGCUAGCUAAAGAUAAUUAGCAGGUGGCUAACAAGCAAACAAUUUAAAGCUGAAUGAUUUUAAUAUUAACACAAAAUAAGUUCAAUACACCUUAAAUAUUUUACCCUACUAUGAGCUGUUCCUUAAUUUACAUUAGCACUCCUUCAGGAGCAUAAUACAAUUAAACACAUUAACCAAAGCUAGCACUUAGCUAGCGAUUAGCGCUUAGCUAGCGAUUAGCAUGUAGAUAGCGAUUAGCGGUUAGCUAGCGAUUAGCACGUAGCUAGCGAUUAGCGGUUAGCUAGCGAUUAGCACGUAGCUAAGCGCUAGCUUUGGUUUAUGUGUGCUAGCUUUAGCUAGCUAGCUAAAGAGAAUGACAUGAUAUUAAUAUGCUAGCGCUAGCUAAGGAGGAUGACAGGUUAUCAAUAUGCUAUAGGGAGGAUUACAUGGCAUUAAUAAUCUAGCGCUAGCUGGCUAGCUAAAGAUAAUUAGCAGGUGGCUAACAAGCAAACAAUUUAAAGCUGAAUGAUUUUAAUAUUAACACAAAAUAAGAACAAUACACCUUAAAUAUUUUACCCUACUAUGAGCUGUUCCUUAAUUUACAUUAGCACUCCUUCAGGAGCAUAAUACAAUUAAACACAAUAACCAAAGCUAGCACUUAGCUAGCGAUUAGCGGUUAGCUAGCGAUUAGCGGUUAAAUAGCGGUUAGCACGUAGACAUGGUAUUAACAUAUGGGCCAGAGCAAGGCACAAUCAAAAUUGCUUUAGGAAUUUUCUAGUUAUUGUGCCUUGCAUAAGCAAGCACAAUACUACUAUCCCUCAUACUUAUUAUAUUUUAUUCUUCCGUACGUUUUUCGGCGCGCUACUCCUCCCGGAGCUUUUGUCGCACGUACACAAGAAAGGUAUCAAAACGUGCGGCUCGGCCGGGAAUCGAGUGCUAUGACUUUUCUAAGCGUUUCGCCAAACGGUUCGCCGUUAAAUCGCCAAAAACCGGUCCAAAAAAUGAAUGGGUGUGUAUUGCGAGAACCUCCAACUGAAAAAAACCGCCAGAGUGCGUGACAUCAUCGCUAGAGUGUGGGGAGAGAGAAAAAGUUGUCGAAAAAUAAAUUUGUAAACUGCUGUCAUGGCCACAAAUUUCACUGUACAGAAAUAAUUUAUAGAUAGAAACGUAGGUAAAUUCGUUGGGGUCGCAGUGAUACUACUGCUGAAGCUGUCAGACAAAUAGUUUUGGCGGGAGACGCACUGAUGCGCCAGCAACUCCCUCUCAUGGCCCCAUCUACUCCCAUGUUAAAAUGGAGAGGAGGAUUCUUGAAAAACGCUCGUUGAACCUCUUCUCUCUCAAUCUCCCCAGGUCACAUUUUUUAACUUUAACCACUGAAACUCGGCAGUGCUAUA
Molecule: long non-coding RNA, 3050 nt
Organism: Dicentrarchus labrax (European seabass)
Lineage: Eukaryota; Metazoa; Chordata; Actinopteri; Moronidae
Exons: 6
Source: RefSeq, a predicted model, not a curated record